GGUUGCGAUCAUACCAGCACUAAUGCACCGGAUCCCAUCAGAAAUCCGCAGUUAAGCGUGCUUGGCGAGAGUAGUACUAGGAUGGGUGACCCCCUGGGAAGUCCUCGUGUUGCAACCC
This 118-nucleotide ribosomal RNA is filed under the name Helianthus annuus (common sunflower). The record is from RNAcentral. Lineage: Eukaryota; Viridiplantae; Streptophyta; Magnoliopsida; Asterales; Asteraceae.